GCGCCCUUAGCUCAGCCUGGCUAGAGCAAGCGACUCUUAAUCGCUGGGUCCAAGGUUCGAAUCCUUGAGGGCGCACCA
RNAcentral lists this transfer RNA (78 nucleotides) under Candidatus Omnitrophota bacterium. RNAcentral describes it as "tRNA-Lys". It matches the Rfam family "tRNA". From Rfam's summary of the family: Transfer RNA (tRNA) molecules are approximately 80 nucleotides in length. Their secondary structure includes four short double-helical elements and three loops (D, anti-codon, and T loops). Further hydrogen bonds mediate the characteristic L-shaped molecular structure. tRNAs have two regions of fundamental functional importance: the anti-codon, which is responsible for specific mRNA codon recognition, and the 3' end, to which the tRNAs corresponding amino acid is attached (by aminoacyl-tRNA synthetases). tRNAs cope with the degeneracy of the genetic code in two manners: having more than one tRNA (with a specific anti-codon) for a particular amino acid; and 'wobble' base-pairing, i.e. permitting non-standard base-pairing at the 3rd anti-codon position. The record is from RNAcentral. Lineage: Bacteria; Pseudomonadati; Candidatus Omnitrophota.